RNAcentral lists this ribosomal RNA (752 nucleotides) under uncultured archaeon. Its description in RNAcentral is "bacterial SSU rRNA". It matches the Rfam family "Archaeal small subunit ribosomal RNA", at positions 95 to 836 of the family's 1478-position model. The record is from RNAcentral.
AACACAUGAUCAACUUACCCUAUAGAGAAAUAUAACCUCGGGAAACUGAGGAUAAUAUUUCAUAGUUGAAUAGGCUUGGAAAAGUUUUUCAAUAAAAGGGAUAAAAAAAAUGGUUCUUAUCUGCUAUAGGAUAGGAUCGUGGACGAUUAUGGUUGUUGGUGAGGUAACGGCUCACCAAGCCGAUAAUCGAUAGGGGCCGUGAGAGCGGGAGCCCCGAGAUGGGUACUGAGACAACGACCCAGGCCCUACGAGGCGCAGCAGGCGCGGAACCUCCGCAAUACACGAAAGUGUGACGGGGUUACCCAAAGUGUUCAAUUUUGAACUGUGGUAGGUGAGUAAUGUCCCCUACUAGAAAGGAGAGGGCAAGGCUGGUGCCAGCCGCCGCGGUAAAACCAGCUCUUCAAGUGGUCGGGAUAAUUAUUGGGCUUAAAGUGUCCGUAGCCGGUUUAGUAAGGUCCUGGUAAAAUCGGGUAGCUUAACUAUCUGUAUGCUAGGAAUACUGCUAUACUAGAGGGCGGGAGAAGUCUGAGGUACUACAGGGGUAGGGGUGAAAUCUUAUAAUCCUUGUAGGACCACCAGUGGCGAAGGCGUCAGACUGGAACGCGCCUGACGGUGAGGGACGAAAGCCAGGGGAGCGAACCGGAUUAGAUACCCGGGUAGUCCUGGCCGUAAACGAUGCAUACUAGGUGAUGGUACGGCCAUGAGCCGUAUCAGUGCCGUAGGGAAACCGUUAAGUGUGCCGCCUGGGAAGU